GUGCCAGCAGCCGCGGUAAUACGGGGGGUGCAAGCGUUACUCGGAAUCACUGGGCGUAAAGAGAAUGUAGGCUGGUUAUUAAGUUGGAAGUGAAAUCCUAUGGCUCAACCAUAGAACUGCUUCCAAAACUGCUUACCUAGAGUAUGGGAGAGGUAGAUGGAAUUUCUGGUGUGGGGGUAAAAUCCGUAGAGAUCAGAAGGAAUACCGAUUGCGAAGGCGAUCUACUGGAACAUUACUGACGCUAAGAUGCGAAAGCGUGGGGAGCAAACAGGAUUAGAUACCCUGGUAGUCCACGCCCUAAACGAUGCACACUAGUUGUUGCUAUGCUAGACAUAGCAGUAAUGCAGUUAACACACUAAAGUGUGCCGCCUGGGGAGUACGGUCGCAAGNUUAAAACUCAAAUGAAAUUGACGG
RNAcentral lists this ribosomal RNA (414 nucleotides) under uncultured bacterium. RNAcentral describes it as "bacterial SSU rRNA". It matches the Rfam family "Bacterial small subunit ribosomal RNA", at positions 505 to 916 of the family's 1533-position model. The record is from RNAcentral.